RNAcentral lists this non-coding RNA (28 nucleotides) under Bombyx mori (domestic silkworm). Lineage: Eukaryota; Metazoa; Arthropoda; Insecta; Lepidoptera; Bombycidae. The record is from RNAcentral.
AAGCUGACAUCUGUAGCACUGCCCGGGA